UGGGGGAUCGUCUAACGGCAGGACGAUAGAUUCUGGAUCUAUCUAUCGGGGUUCGAGUCCCUGUCCCCCAG
This is a non-coding RNA of Nitrospirae bacterium GWA2_42_11, 71 nucleotides long. The record is from Rfam. Lineage: Bacteria; Pseudomonadati; Nitrospirota.